UACGGGGGGAGCAAGCGUUGUUCGGAUUUACUGGGCGUAAAGGGCGCGUAGGCGGUCGUGACAAGUCACUUGUGAAAUCUCCGGGCUUAACUCGGAACGGUCAAGUGAUACUGUCGGACUAGAGUACAGAAGGGGCAACUGGAAUUCUCGGUGUAGCGGUGAAAUGCGUAGAUAUCGGGAGGAACACCUAUGGCGAAGGCAGCUCGCUGGGACGUUACUGACGCUGAGACGCGAAAGCGUGGGGAGCAAACAGG
RNAcentral lists this ribosomal RNA (254 nucleotides) under uncultured bacterium. Its description in RNAcentral is "partial 16S ribosomal RNA". It matches the Rfam family "Bacterial small subunit ribosomal RNA", at positions 524 to 776 of the family's 1533-position model. The record is from RNAcentral.